RNAcentral lists this unclassified non-coding RNA (320 nucleotides) under plant metagenome. Its description in RNAcentral is "partial contains 5.8S ribosomal RNA, internal transcribed spacer 2, and large subunit ribosomal RNA". The stretch from base 1 to 105 matches the Rfam family "5.8S ribosomal RNA", at positions 50 to 154 of the family's 154-position model. The record is from RNAcentral.
GAAAUGCGAUAAGUAAUGUGAAUUGCAGAAUUCAGUGAAUCAUCGAAUCUUUGAACGCACAUUGCGCCCGCCAGUAUUCUGGCGGGCAUGCCUGUUCGAGCGUCAUUACAACCCUCAGGCCCCCGGGCCUGGCGUAGGGGAUCGGCGGAAGACCCCUGCGGGCACAACGCCGUCCCCCAAAUACAGUGGCGGUCCCGCCGCAGCUUCCAUUGCGUAGUAGCUAACACCUCGCAACUGGAGAGCGGCGCGGCCACGCCGUAAAACACCCAACUUCUGAAUGUUGACCUCGAAUCAGGUAGGAAUACCCGCUGAACUUAAGC